RNAcentral lists this ribosomal RNA (496 nucleotides) under uncultured bacterium. RNAcentral describes it as "partial 16S ribosomal RNA". It matches the Rfam family "Bacterial small subunit ribosomal RNA", at positions 28 to 507 of the family's 1533-position model. The record is from RNAcentral.
GAUGAACGCUGGCGGCGUGCCUAAUACAUGCAAGUCGAGCGAACAGACGGGAGCUUGCUCCUCUGACGUUAGCGGCGGACGGGUGAGUAACACGUGGAUAACCUACCUAUAAGACUGGGAUAACUUCGGGAAACCGGAGCUAAUACCGGAUAAUAUAUUGAACCGCAUGGUUCAAUAGUGAAAGACGGUUUUGCUGUCACUUAUAGAUGGAUCCGCGCCGCAUUAGCUAGUUGGUAAGGUAACGGCUUACCAAGGCAACGAUGCGUAGCCGACCUGAGAGGGUGAUCGGCCACACUGGAACUGAGACACGGUCCAGACUCCUACGGGAGGCAGCAGUAGGGAAUCUUCCGCAAUGGGCGAAAGCCUGACGGAGCAACGCCGCGUGAGUGAUGAAGGUCUUCGGAUCGUAAAACUCUGUUAUUAGGGAAGAACAAAUGUGUAAGUAACUAUGCACGUCUUGACGGUACCUAAUCAGAAAGCCACGGCUAACUACGUG